CUCCCAGGGAUUCCCACCACCCGCACUCCACUCGCAGACUGCGGGCCUUCCUCCGACGCUGGGAGAAGGACCCUGGGAGAGGCAAGGGAAGGGCUCCGGAACCAGCGCAGCAGCGGGACGCUAGCCCGCCCACACGGCGGCCACUUGAAGGUCCUCCAGGGAACACCUGAGGCAGUGGGAGCGUCUGCCCUUUCCUAAGUCUCCUUGGAAAGAAGUAUUCGCUUUCGUUUCCGCAAACAAAGCAUGCUCCGCGCUUUCAGGACCGGUGGCUCCCGUGGAGACCGCAGCGGAACCCAGUCCGCCUUCGCACGCGUCCGGGGGAGAAGCGGCCCCAGGACUAAGGGCGCGCGCCCGAGGAACCGGUGCUGUGACGACCAGAGCAAACACGCCGGAUGUUCCUGUGUAGGCUGUGUAAGGAGUGACCGGAAGUAGAAACUGGGUGCUCCAGUGGCGCAAUCGGUUAGCGCGCGGUACUUAUAUGGCAGUAUGUGUGCGAGUGAUGCCGAGGUUGUGAGUUCGAGCCUCACCUGGAGCAUUGUUUUCCAACCCAAAAUAGCAUUACUUGAAGUGCCUUUCCCCCUGUAAUCCGACUCCAUCGUCUUUAACGUGUUUGGAAUUGUGUACACAGUUUAUUGUUAUUGGUUUCCUUAGCCUUUUUAGAACCAAGCAACGCCAAUUACCAACAAAAUCCGUUGCGCCGCAGUGAGUUAGCUACCUUCUAUCUCCACUUUGUUCUGCACGUCGAUCUCAGGAGAAGCCAGCUCCCAUGUUAAGAAGUUCAAAUACCUAGAGACUGCGAUGGUUUGCAGAGGCUCAAGCUAACCACAUGGAAAGACAUGGAGAGAUAUUCCUUGCCAACCCUCAACUACUCCAACUAUUCUAAGACAUCAAACCUGUCACCCACCGGUCUGAAGAGGAGGAUGAGAGACAAAGAAAAAAGUUGUCUGGCUGCCUCUGCUGUCUACAGAUUGAAGAAGAUCCAUCCAGCUGAGCCCAGCCUAGACCAGCUGACUUCUCCAAUAAGCCUGUAUGAAAUAAAUGCUUAUUGUUAUGUGACCUUGA
This 1062-nucleotide long non-coding RNA is filed under the name Homo sapiens (human). Its description in RNAcentral is "long intergenic non-protein coding RNA 240". The stretch from base 442 to 535 matches the Rfam family "tRNA". Lineage: Eukaryota; Metazoa; Chordata; Mammalia; Primates; Hominidae. The record is from RNAcentral.